UCACUGCCGAGGAGUCCCAUAAUAGGACGAAACGGCCGUCCAAUGC
This 46-nucleotide non-coding RNA is filed under the name Schistosoma mansoni. Lineage: Eukaryota; Metazoa; Platyhelminthes; Trematoda; Strigeidida; Schistosomatidae. The record is from RNAcentral.